UGAAUAGCACAGCCGAAUUUCCUAAGGAAAACGGGGGAACCAUAAAGUUGUCAAAUGAGUGGAACAAGCUGCAAGCAAAAGCGGUUCAAAUUUGGCGGCAUGGGGUGAAUUUUAGCGGAGGAGCAUGAUCUCUUGCCGCCGAAUAGGGCUGCCUGUCCAGGCCCGAAUCCGACAGCUAACCUCGUAGGCGUAUUGGAACAGGACU
This 205-nucleotide small RNA is filed under the name Bacillus sp. (in: firmicutes). RNAcentral describes it as "Bacillus sp. c-di-AMP sequence". It matches the Rfam family "c-di-AMP riboswitch aptamer (ydaO/yuaA leader)". From Rfam's summary of the family: This family represents a conserved RNA structure found upstream of the ydaO and yuaA genes in Bacillus subtilis and related genes in other bacteria. The ydaO/yuaA element is thought to act as a genetic "off" switch for the ydaO and yuaA genes in its native state. Lineage: Bacteria; Bacillati; Bacillota; Bacilli; Caryophanales; Bacillaceae. RNAcentral also lists the same sequence under 1 other name. The record is from RNAcentral.